Molecule: ribosomal RNA, 1345 nt
Filed under: uncultured bacterium
Lineage: Bacteria
Description: partial 16S ribosomal RNA
Rfam family: Bacterial small subunit ribosomal RNA
Source: RNAcentral
GACGAACGCUGGCGGCGUGCUUACACAUGCAAGUCGAACGGAAAGGCCCUGCUUUUGUGGGGUGCUCGAGUGGCGAACGGGUGAGUAACACGUGAGUAACCUGCCCUUGACUUUGGGAUAACUUCAGGAAACUGGGGCUAAUACCGGAUAGGAGCUCCUGCUGCAUGGUGGGGGUUGGAAAGUUUCGGCGGUUGGGGAUGGACUCGCGGCUUAUCAGCUUGUUGGUGGGGUAGUGGCUUACCAAGGCUUUGACGGGUAGCCGGCCUGAGAGGGUGACCGGCCACAUUGGGACUGAGAUACGGCCCAGACUCCUACGGGAGGCAGCAGUGGGGAAUAUUGCACAAUGGGCGGAAGCCUGAUGCAGCAACGCCGCGUGCGGGAUGACGGCCUUCGGGUUGUAAACCGCUUUCGCCUGUGACGAAGCGUGAGUGACGGUAAUGGGUAAAGAAGCACCGGCUAACUACGUGCCAGCAGCCGCGGUGAUACGUAGGGUGCGAGCGUUGUCCGGAUUUAUUGGGCGUAAAGGGCUCGUAGGUGGUUGAUCGCGUCGGAAGUGUAAUCUUGGGGCUUAACCCUGAGCGUGCUUUCGAUACGGGUUGACUUGAGGAAGGUAGGGGAGAAUGGAAUUCCUGGUGGAGCGGUGGAAUGCGCAGAUAUCAGGAGGAACACCAGUGGCGAAGGCGGUCCUCUGGGCCUUUCCUGACGCUGAGGAGCGAAAGCGUGGGGAGCGAACAGGCUUAGAUACCCUGGUAGUCCACGCUGUAAACGGUGGGUACUAGGUGUGGGGUCCAUUCCACGGGUUCCGUGCCGUAGCUAACGCUUUAAGUACCCCGCCUGGGGAGUACGGCCGCAAGGCUAAAACUCAAAGGAAUUGACGGGGCCCCGCACAAGCGGCGGAGCAUGCGGAUUAAUUCGAUGCAACGCGUAGAACCUUACCUGGGUUUGACAUGGAUCGGGAGUGCUCAGAGAUGGGUGUGCCUCUUUUGGGGUCGGUUCACAGGUGGUGCAUGGCUGUCGUCAGCUCGUGUCGUGAGAUGUUGGGUUAAGUCCCGCAACGAGCGCAACCCUUGUUCACUGUUGCCAGCACGUUAUGGUGGGGACUCAGUGGAGACCGCCGGGGUCAACUCGGAGGAAGGUGGGGAUGACGUCAAGUCAUCAUGCCCCUUAUGUCCAGGGCUUCACGCAUGCUACAAUGGCUGGUACAGAGAGUGGCGAGCCUGUGAGGGUGAGCGAAUCUCGGAAAGCCGGUCUCAGUUCGGAUUGGGGUCUGCAACUCGACCUCAUGAAGUCGGAGUCGCUAGUAAUCGCAGAUCAGCAACGCUGCGGUGAAUACGUUCCCGGGGCU